UGACGGGACAAUUCAUUUUUGAUGGAGUUAGUGAUGAUGAGAAGAAAAAAUUUAGGUUUCUUUUCAGUAUCAUCAAUAUGAAAAACAUCCACUAGCACUUGGUGGCUAUCGACAUGGAGAAUAAAAGAUUUAUUCAUUUAAGCUCCAUCAAACAUAAAGCUAAAUAUGAGGCUAAUGUCAGAAAGUGGCAGUAGAUAGUAGCAGUCAUGUUUCGUAUAUAUUGUGAUAAUGCAGAAUUGAGUAAAUGGAAUAUGAAAGAAGAUCAUUACCGUCCUUCCCAGUCCGAGGAUUUCUUGGAUUGUGGACUCUAUUGCUUGAAGUACAUAGACUUUUUGCUCGUAAGGACAGAUCAGAUAAAUGAGACUUCAUGCAGGAUGAUGUAGUUCAAUAUUGAGGAGAGCUUGGGGCCAG
RNAcentral lists this long non-coding RNA (411 nucleotides) under Elaeis guineensis (African oil palm). RNAcentral describes it as "long non-coding RNA (EGUI_LNC005516)". Lineage: Eukaryota; Viridiplantae; Streptophyta; Magnoliopsida; Arecales; Arecaceae. The record is from RNAcentral.